Molecule: long non-coding RNA, 444 nt
Filed under: Mytilus galloprovincialis (Mediterranean mussel)
Lineage: Eukaryota; Metazoa; Mollusca; Bivalvia; Mytilida; Mytilidae
Source: RNAcentral
AAACUUCAUAUUAAUCUGUAUCACAAUGAAAACAAAAUGUUUGACAUCCAAUCAAUCAUGCAUACUUGAAAUGUCAAUUAUUUAACAUUGAAGCCAAAGGUCAAGACUAAAUUGCUAGCUUUCCUGAUGGUAUACAACAAGCUGUCCCAUGGUUUUACAAAAACAUACAAUACAUCAUCGAUUUAUCUCAAAAGACAAAAAUAUUACGGCUCGGACAAUUAACUACAAGUUCAUAUUAUAACACAUAGAUAUGUUUCAAUAAUUUGACCUUGAGGUCAAAGGUCAUGUAGAAAAUGCGGGCUUGGUGGUACACAACUCACCCUCUUAAUAUUAAACACUAACAUACCAAAUACCAUUGAUGUAUCUAAAGAAACAAAUCAAAAUCUGAAUAAGAAAAAAAUAAAAUUUUCAAAUUUAUUCAAUUCAUGAAUUUAAAGUUAACUC